RNAcentral lists this ribosomal RNA (243 nucleotides) under uncultured bacterium. RNAcentral's name for it is "partial 16S ribosomal RNA". It matches the Rfam family "Bacterial small subunit ribosomal RNA", at positions 57 to 305 of the family's 1533-position model. The record is from RNAcentral.
GCAUGUCGAGCGAAGCACUUGUGCUUAGCGGCAAAUGGGUGAGUAAUAUGUACCUAACCUACCUUAUAGACUGGGACAACCAAAGGAAACUUUGGCUAAUACCGGAUAUUUUACUUUUUCGCCUGAAAGAGUAAUAAAAGGGGCUCCCGGCCCCACUAUAAAAUGGGGGUGCACUACAUUAGCUAGUUGGGGGGGUAAAGGCCCACCAAGGUUAUGAUGUAUAGCGGGGUCGAGAGGCUGAAC